This 70-nucleotide transfer RNA is filed under the name Elaptus prionoides. Its description in RNAcentral is "tRNA-Lys". The record is from RNAcentral. Lineage: Eukaryota; Metazoa; Arthropoda; Insecta; Coleoptera; Cerambycidae.
CAUUAGAUGGCUGAAAGCAAGCAAUGGAAUUUUAAACCAUGAAAUAGUAAAUUAGCGAUUACUUCUAGUG